AGACAUCAUCAUAUUUGCCUAGGCUGGAUGGAAAAGAGAAAGCAUACAAUCAGAGAAGACGCCCCUUGUGGUCACUGGAUUUAAUAGUCCUGUCUGCUGUGCCUGCUUCUGAUCAGACUUUAGGCUUGAGGCCUCCAAUGCUCUGGACACAAACACAGACGACUGCACUGGACCUCAGCCGGAGCAAGAAUGCUGGAAGAGAGAGAUUGUCUGGAAAAGAGCCCAUAGGUCACUUGAGGUCACCUGGUCACUAGUGCCUCCUGGUCCACCGAAUCCGAAGUAGUCCACAGGAUAUACGGACCUGAAAUGAGAAGAAAAAAAAAAAA
Hyla sarda is the source of this 326-nucleotide long non-coding RNA. RefSeq lists it as uncharacterized. NCBI's taxonomy places the organism in Eukaryota, Metazoa, Chordata, Amphibia, Anura, Hylidae. The record is from RefSeq and is a predicted model, not a curated record. The transcript is spliced from 3 exons.